CGCCCCAUUCCGAGUCCGGCGGACGAACUUCGCCCGCGCCCCCCGCCAAGGCUAUAGCCCACCCGUUUUUUGGCCAUUUUUCCGCUGGGGGGUUUUGGCACCACGACCUUCGGGCGCUUAUUUUUCGGCGCGGCUGGUCCCGCGACUUCCCGCGGGCACCCCAAGGCCCCUCGCAAAGUCUCGCCCCAUUCCGAGUCCGGCGGACGAGCUUCGCCCGCGCCCCCCACCAAGGCUAUAGCCCACCCGUUUUUGGCCAUUUUUCCGCUGGGGGGUUUUGGCACCAUGACCUUCGGGCGCUUAUUUUUCGGCGCAGCUGUGCCCGCGACUUCCCGCCGGCACCCCGAGGCCCCUCGCAAAGUCUCGCCCCAUUCCGAGUCCGGCGGACGAACUUCGCCCGCGCCCCCCACCAAGGCUAUAGCCCACCCGUUUUUUGCCCAUUUUUCCGCCGGGGGGUUUUGGCACCACGACCAUCGGGCGCUUAUUUUUGGGUGCGGCUUUCCCCGCGGCUUAUUUUUGGCACCCCGAGGCCCCUCGCAAAGUCUCGCCCCAUUCCGAGUCCGGCGGACGAACUUCGCCCGCGCCCCCCACCAAGGCUAUAGCCCACCCGUUUUUUGCCCAUUUUUCCGCCGGGGGGUUUUGGCACCACGACCAUCGGGCGCUUAUUUUUGGGCACGGCUAUGCCCGCGGCUUAGUUUUGGCGCCCUGAGGCCCCUCGCAAGGUCUCACCCCAUUCCGAGUCCGGCGGACGAACUUCGCCCGCGCCCCCCACCAAGGCUAUAGCCGACCCGUUUUUUGGCCAUUUUUCCGCUGGGGGGUUUUGGCACCACGACCUUCGGGCACUUAUUUUUGGGUGUGGCUUUGCCCGCGGCUUAUUUUUGGCGCCCCGAGGCCCCUCGCAAAGUCUUGCCCCAUUCCGAGUCCGGCGGACGAACUUCGCCCGCGCCCCCCACCAAGGCUAUAGCCCACCCGUUUUUUGGCCAUUUUUCCGCUGGGGGGUUUUGGCACCACGACCUUUGGGCGCUUAUUUUUGGGCGCGGCUUUGCCCGCGGCUUAUUUUUGGCAUCCCGAGGCCCCUCGCAAAGUCUCGCCCCAUUCCGAGUCCAGCGGACGAACCUCGCCCACGCCCCCCACCAAGGCUAUAACCCACCCGUUUUUGGCCAUUUUUCCGCUGGGGGGUUUUGGCACCACGACCAUCGGACGCUUAUUUUUGGGCGCGGCUUUGCCCGCGGCUUAUUUCUGGCGCCCCGAGGCCCCUCGCAAAGUCUCGCCCCAUUCCGAGUCCGGCGGACGAACUUCGCCCGCGCCCCCCACCAAGGCUAUAGCCCACCCGUUUUUUGGCCAUUUUUCCGCUGGGGGGUUUGGCACCACGACCUUCUGGCGCUUAUUUUUGGAGCCCGCAGGCCCCUCGCAAAAUCACGGCCCAUUCCGAGUCCGGAGGACGAACUUCACCCGCGCCCCCCACCAAGGCUAUAGCCCACCCGUUUUUUGGCCAUUUUUCCGCUGGGGGGUUUUGGCACCACGACCUUCUGGCGCUUAUUUUUGGGCGCGGCCUUGCCCGCGGCCUAUUUUUGGCGCCCCGAGGCCCCUAGCAAAGUCUCGCCCCAUUCCGAGUCCGGCGGACGAACUUCGCCGGCGCCCCCCACCAAGGCUAUAGCCCACCCGUUUUUUUGCCAUUUUUCCGCUGGGGGGUUUUGGCACCACUACCUUCGGGCGCUUAUUUUUGGGCGCGGCUUUGCCCGCGGCUUAUUUUUGGUGCCCCGAGGCCCCUCGCAAAGUCUCGCCCCAUUCCGAGUCCGGCGGACGAACUUCGCCCGCGCCCCCCACCAAGGCUAUAGCCCACCCAUUUUUUGGCCAUUUUUCCGCUGGGGGGUUUUGGCACCACGACCAUCGGGCGCUUAUUUUUGGGCGCAGCUUUGCCCGCGGCUUAUUUUUGGCGCCCCGAGGCCCCUCGCAAAGUCUCGCCCCAUUCCGAGUCCGACGGACGAACUUCGCCCGCGCCCCCCACCAAGGCUAUGGCCCACCCGUUUUUUGGCCAUUUUUCCGCUGGGGGGUUUUGGCACCACUACCUUCGGGUGCUUAUUUUUGGGUGCGGCUUUGCCCGCGGCUUAUUUUUGGCGCCCCGAGGCCCCUCGCAAAGUCUCGCCCCAUUCCGAGUCCGGCGGACGAACUUCGCCCGCGCCCCCCACCAAGGCUAUAGCCCACCCGUUUUUUGGCCAUUUUUCCGCUGGGGGGUUUUGGCACCACGACCUUCGGGCGCUUAUUUUUGGUCGCGGCUUUCCCCGCGGCUUAUUUUUGGUGCCCCGGGGCCCCUCGCAACGUCUCGCCCCAUUCCGAGUCCGGCGGACGAACUUCGCCCGCGCCCCCCACCAAGGCUAUAGCCCACCCGUUUUUUGGACAUUUUUCCGCUGGGGGGUUUUGGCACCACGACCUUCGGGCACUUAUUUUUGGGCGCGGCUUUGCCCGCGGCUUAUUUUUGGCACCCCGAGGCCCCUCGCAAAGUCUCGCCCAAUUCCGAGUCCGGCGGACGAACUUCGCCCGCGCCCCCCACCAAGGCUAUAGCCCACCCGUUUUUUGGCCAUUUUUCCGCUGGGGGGUUUUGGCACCACGACCUUCGGGCGCUUGUUUUUGGGCGCGGCUGCGCCCGCGACUUCCCGCGGGCACCCCGAGGCCCCUCGCAAAGUCUCGCCCCAUUCCGAGUCCGGCGGACGAACUUCGCCCGCGCCCCCCACCAAGGCUAUAGCCUACCCGUUUUUUGGCCAUUUUUCCGCUGGGGAGUUUUGGGACCACGACCUUCGGGCGCUUAUUUUUGGGCGCGGCUGUGCCCGCGGCUUAUUUUUGGCGCCCCGAGGCCCCUCGCAAAGUCUCGCCCCAUUCCGAGUCCGGCGGACGAACUUCGCCCGCGCCCCCCACCAAGGCUAUAGCCCACCCAUUUUUUGGCCAUUUUUCCGCUGGGGGGUUUUGGCACCACGACCUUCGGGCGCUUAUUUUUGGGCGCGGCUGUGCCCGCGACUUCCCGCGGGCACCCUGAGGCCCCUCGCAAAGUCUCGCCCCAUUCCGAGUCCGGCGGACGAACUUCGCCCGCGCCCCCCACCAAGGCUAUAGCCCACCCGUUUUUUGGCCAUUUUUCCGCUGGGGGGUUUUGGCACCACGACCUUCGGGCGCUUAUUUUUGGGCGCGGCUGUGCCCGCUACUUCCCGCGGGCACCCCGAGGCCACUCGCAAAGUCUCGCCCCAUUCCGAGUCCGGCGGACGAACUUCGCCCGCGCCCCCCACCAAGGCUAUAGCCCACCCGUUUUUUGGCCAUUUUUCCGCUGGGGGGUUUUGGCACCACGACCUUCGGGCACUUAUUUUUGGGCGCGCUUUGCCCGCGGCUUAUUUUUGGCGCCGCGAGGCCCCUCGCAAAGUCUCGCCCCAUUCCGAGUCCGGCGGACGAACUUCGCCCGCGCCCCCCACCAAGGCUAUAGCCCACCCAUUUUUUGGCCAUUUUUCCGCUGGGGGGUUUUGGCACCACGACCUUCGGGCGCUUAUUUUUGGGCGCGGCUGUGCCCGCGACUUCCCGCGGGCACCCCGAGGCCACUCGCAAAGUCUAGCCCCAUUCCGAGUCCGGCGGACGAACUUCACCCGCGCCCCCCACCAAGGCUAUAGCCCACCCGUUUUUUGGCCAUUUUUCCGCUCGGGGGUUUUGGCACCACGACCUUCGGGCGCUUAUUUUUGGGCACGGCUUUGCCCGCGGCUUAUUUUUGGCGCCCCGAGGCCCCUCGCAAAGUCUCGCCCCAUUCCGAGUCCGGCGGACGAACUUCGCCCGCGCCCCCCACCAAGGCUAUAGCCCACCCGUUUUUUGGCCAUUUUCCGCUG
Molecule: long non-coding RNA, 3854 nt
Filed under: Citrus x clementina
Lineage: Eukaryota; Viridiplantae; Streptophyta; Magnoliopsida; Sapindales; Rutaceae
Description: Citrus clementina (C. clementina) long non-coding RNA (CCLE_LNC006354)
Source: RNAcentral